This 253-nucleotide ribosomal RNA is filed under the name uncultured bacterium. RNAcentral's name for it is "partial 16S ribosomal RNA". It matches the Rfam family "Bacterial small subunit ribosomal RNA", at positions 524 to 776 of the family's 1533-position model. The record is from RNAcentral.
GACGAACCGUGCGAACGUUGUUCGGAUUCACUGGGCUUAAAGGGCGCGUAGGCGGUACGCCAAGUCUGGGGUGAAAUCUUUCGGCUCAACCGGAAAAUUACCUGGGAUACUGGCGUGCUCGAGGGAGGUAGGGGCAGCGGGAACUGCCAGUGGAGCGGUGAAAUGCGUUGAUAUUGGCAGGAACGCCGGUGGCGAAAGCGCGUUGCUGGACCUCUUCUGACGCUGAUGCGCGAAAGCUAGGGGAGCAAACGGG